This 274-nucleotide ribosomal RNA is filed under the name uncultured bacterium. RNAcentral describes it as "partial 16S ribosomal RNA". It matches the Rfam family "Bacterial small subunit ribosomal RNA", at positions 523 to 796 of the family's 1533-position model. The record is from RNAcentral.
AGACGUAGGGGGCGAGCGCUGCUCGGAAUCACUGGGCGUAAAGCGCGCGCAGGCGGUCUUUUAAGUUGGAUGUGAAAGCCUACGGCUCAACCGUAGAACUGCAUCCAAAACUAUUAGACUAGAGUGUGGGAGAGGAAGAUGGAAUUAGUUGUGUAGGGGUAAAAUCCGUAGAGAUAACUAGGAAUACCAAAAGCGAAGGCAAUCUUCUGGAACACUACUGACGCUGAGGCGCGAAAGCGUGGGGAGCAAACAGGAUUAGAAACCCUUGUAGUCC